CCCUUGUCCUUAGUUGCUACGCAAGAGCACUCUAAGGAGACUGCCGGUGACAAACCGGAGGAAGGUGGGGAUGACGUCAAGUCCUCAUGGCCCUUAUGGGUAGGGCUUCACACGUCAUACAAUGGUCGGAACAGAGGGUUGCCAACCCGCGAGGGGGAGCUAAUCCCAGAAAACCGAUCGUAGUCCGGAUUGCACUCUGCAACUCGAGUGCAUGAAGCUGGAAUCGCUAGUAAUCGCGGAUCAGCAUGCCGCGGUGAAUACGUUCCCGGGUCUU
Molecule: ribosomal RNA, 274 nt
Filed under: uncultured bacterium
Lineage: Bacteria
Description: partial 16S ribosomal RNA
Rfam family: Bacterial small subunit ribosomal RNA
Source: RNAcentral